Molecule: long non-coding RNA, 1217 nt
Organism: Corvus hawaiiensis (hawaiian crow)
Lineage: Eukaryota; Metazoa; Chordata; Aves; Passeriformes; Corvidae
Exons: 4
Source: RefSeq, a predicted model, not a curated record
GAGCCGCGCCCUAGGGCUGAGCCCCGGGGCGGGCUGGUGAGCGGGGACAGCACAGCGUCGUUAGAGAUGGAAGGCACCUCCGGAGACCAUCUCGUCCAGCCCCCAAUGCCAAGGCAGAGUCACCUAAAGCAGGUGACACAGGGUGGGUUUUGAAUGUUGCCAGAGAGGGAGACUCCACGACCUCCUUGGACAGCGUGUUCCAGUGCUCUGCCACCCUCAGAGAAAAGAAGUUCUUUUCUUCUUCGUGUUGAAGUGAAACUUCUUGUAUUUUAGUUUAUGCCCAUUGCUCCUCAUCCUGUCACUGGGAACCACUGAAAAGAGCCUGGCACCAUCCUCUUGGCACCUGCCUUUGAGAUACUUAUACGCAUUAAUGAGAUCCCCUUCAGUCUUCUCUGAGGCCCAGAGUCUCUCCUCAUAAGAGAGGUGUUCCAGACCUCUAAUAACCUUUGUGUCCCUCCGGUGGACCACCUCCUGGAGCUCCUUGUCUUUCUUGUACUGCAAGGCUUUACAGGAAAAGAGAAUUCCAUGGAGGAAUCUGAAGGAGGAUAGAGAGAUGGCUGCGCAGAUAUUUAUGGGAAGCUCUUCCCACACUCCAAGGUGUGCUGGUUUGGAACGGCCGUUCAUCUGCAAGAGUCAGCAUCUGUCUUACACUUACAAGGGUUCUCUGUCUGCCUCGUCUGUGUCCAGUGGCAAGGAAUCUUACCAACAACUUGAACUUUGUAUCAGGCCUCAAGGAGUACCUCCGGAUUUACUGAGCCCAACAAGUUUAGAAAUACGUGGUUACUUAUUCAUUAAAUGGGAUUUUGCAUUGUGUGUUGGCAUAAAGCCAUUUUUUUUGUUUUAACUAAAUUAUUUUCCCCCUAUCAUGCGUGCGUCACUGUAUGAGCCAAAGGUUUCGCCAGAGUUUCUUUCUACUCACAGAGGAAGAGACCUUUCCUGAUGGCUCCUAGCGAUGGUGCUGGAACCAACUGUACCUGAGGAGCAAAGUCUGAUGUUCUACAGGUAACCCCACAAGGCCGGCGGCAAGGAUUUCUGUGGCCCCGCUGCCCUCUGGAAGCGACCCCACGCUGACCACGGCGAGGAGCACUUCGGAGCCCUUCCUCCAGGCGACCCCACACCGCCCAAACUUCAGGGCAGGGGAAGCUCCGUGGCCUCGCCUCAGCCCAUUGGCGGGCGGCAGGAGGAGCCCGAGCCCCGAUCUGGCGGAGGACCGUGGA